RNAcentral lists this ribosomal RNA (968 nucleotides) under Neophron percnopterus (Egyptian vulture). RNAcentral describes it as "partial 12S ribosomal RNA". It matches the Rfam family "Bacterial small subunit ribosomal RNA". Lineage: Eukaryota; Metazoa; Chordata; Aves; Accipitriformes; Accipitridae. The record is from RNAcentral.
AAGGACUCAGUCCUAACCUUACCGUUAGUUAGUGCUAAGUAUAUACAUGCAAGUAUUCGCACUCCAGUGCAAAUGCCCUCAAUUCCUUACCAAGACGACAGGAGCGGGCAUCAGGCACACCCAUCAGACGUAGCCCAAGACGCCUUGCUCAGCCACACCCCCACGGGCACUCAGCAGUAAUUAACAUUAGGCAAUAAGUGCAAACUUGACCUAGUUAUAGCAUCCUACAGGGCCGGUAAAUCUUGUGCCAGCCACCGCGGUCACACAAGAGGCCCAAAUUAACUGUACACGGCGUAAAGAGUGGGCACUUACUAUCCAAACUACUAGGGUUAAAGUACAUCUAAGCUGUCAUAAGCCCCAGAUGCCUCUAAAACCACCCCACAAGACGACCCUAGCACCUACGACCAACUAAACCCCACGAAAGCCAGGGCACAAACUGGGAUUAGAUACCCCACUAUGCCUCGCCCUAAAUCUUAAUACUUACCCUACCGAAGUAUUCGCCUGAGAACUACGAGCAUAAACGCUUAAAACUCUAAGGACUUGGCGGUGCCCCAAACCCACCUAGAGGAGCCUGUUCUAUAAUCGAUAACCCACGCUACACCCCACCACCCUUCGCCAAAGCAGCCUACAUACCGCCGUCGCCAGCCCACCUCCCUUGAGACCAACAGUGGGCCCAAUAGCUCCCUCGCUAAUAAGACAGGUCAAGGUAUAGCCCAUAGGGUGGAAGAAAUGGGCUACAUUUUCUAAAAUAGAAAACUACGAAAGGAGGCAUGAAACAACCUCCGGAAGGCGGAUUUAGCAGUAAAACGGGACAAUAAGGCCCCAUUUAAGACGGCCCCGGGGCACGUACAUACCGCCCGUCACCCUCCUCACAGGCUAUCAACCCCCUAUACCUAAUGCCUUAGUAAGCUGAAGAUGAGGUAAGUCGUAACAAGGUAAGUGUACCGGAAGGUGCACUUAGCAUACCA